This 31-nucleotide non-coding RNA is filed under the name Rattus norvegicus (Norway rat). The record is from RNAcentral. Lineage: Eukaryota; Metazoa; Chordata; Mammalia; Rodentia; Muridae.
UGUUAAAGAAAGAAGGUGUAGACAUCACAGU